UGAAACGCCACUAAUUGAUAUUCCUCCAUACUGACUGCAUGACAACAAAUCUCGACAGAAAGGCAAUAAAAAGAAACAUUUCACCCAGUGUGAAAUGGAAGUUCUUGUAGGGGAGGAUGAAGAAAGAAAAUAGAAAGAAAGAAAGAAACACCGGAUGAUCCAGUCUGCGUGUUCCAGUGGGGUCGGUGGUGGAGCAGGAGUUGAGUGCCCCCAGCCCCGGCGUCUCCACUGCACCUUGUGAGUCACUACCCUCCAGCGGCCGUGUCCUCACAGAUGCAGUCCUGCAAACGCAGAGACACCAUCAACGCUAUUAACUUUGUUUGUGCUGGCGCUUCUCUGUAAAGCUGGGCCCACUACAACACAGAUCCAAGAGAACAGCUCUUGGUAAUGGGAACCAGCUCAUAAGCCACUCCUUAUCAUUGGCCAGUAGAUCUUGCUGGUCUCUGAUAAGUCGCUCUCGCCAAAUCAUUUCAUAACAUGCAUGUAUUGUUUAAUAAUUACAGAUCCAAUUAAAAGAUUCCCGAUUAAA
This is a long non-coding RNA of Oncorhynchus keta (chum salmon), 529 nucleotides long. RefSeq lists it as uncharacterized. The record is from RefSeq and is a predicted model, not a curated record. The transcript is spliced from 2 exons. NCBI's taxonomy places the organism in Eukaryota, Metazoa, Chordata, Actinopteri, Salmoniformes, Salmonidae.